This 253-nucleotide ribosomal RNA is filed under the name uncultured bacterium. Its description in RNAcentral is "partial 16S ribosomal RNA". It matches the Rfam family "Bacterial small subunit ribosomal RNA", at positions 524 to 776 of the family's 1533-position model. The record is from RNAcentral.
UACGUAGGGGGCAAGCGUUGUCCGGAAUCAUUGGGCGUAAAGAGCGUGUAGGCGGCUCGGUAAGUCCGCUGUAAAAGUCCAAGGCUCAACCUUUGAAUGUCAGUGGAUACUGCCGGGCUAGAGUCCGGAAGAGGCGAGUGGAACUCCUGGUGUAGCGGUGGAAUGCGCAGAUAUCAGGAAGAACACCAGCGGCGAAGGCAGCUCGCUGGGACGGUACUGACGCUGAGACGCGAAAGCGUGGGGAGCGAACAGG